UCUCCGUAGGUGAACCUGCGGAGGGAUCAUUACAGAGUUCAUGCCCUACCGGGUAGAUCUCCCACCCUAUGUUUUUACUACUUUGUUGCUUUGGCGGGCCGUUAGGCUCCGGCCCGACUACCGGCCCCGGCUGGUAAGCGCCAGCCAGAGGACCCAAAACCCUGAAUAUUAGUGUCGUCUGAGUACUAUAUAAUAGUUAAAACUUUCAACAACGGAUCUCUUGGUUCUG
Molecule: unclassified non-coding RNA, 229 nt
Filed under: plant metagenome
Description: partial contains small subunit ribosomal RNA, internal transcribed spacer 1, and 5.8S ribosomal RNA
Source: RNAcentral